This 1274-nucleotide ribosomal RNA is filed under the name Nephroma bellum. RNAcentral's name for it is "LSU rRNA". It matches the Rfam family "Eukaryotic large subunit ribosomal RNA", at positions 114 to 1351 of the family's 3401-position model. Lineage: Eukaryota; Fungi; Ascomycota; Lecanoromycetes; Peltigerales; Nephromataceae. The record is from RNAcentral.
UUUGAAAUCUGAUCCCUUCGGGGUCCGAGUUGUAAUUUGUAGAGGGUGCUUCGGGCUUGGCCUAGGUCUAAGUUCCUUGGAACAGGGCGUCAUAGAGGGUGAGAAUCCCGUAUGAGACCGGCGAUCCAGCCCAUGUGAAGCCCCUUCGACGAGUCGAGUUGUUUGGGAAUGCAGCUCAAAAUGGGUGGUAAAUUUCAUCUAAAGCUAAAUACGGGCCAGAGACCGAUAGCGAACAAGUAGAGUGAUCGAAAGAUGAAAAGCACUUUGGAAAGAGAGUUAAACAGUACGUGAAAUUGUUGAAAGGGAAGCGCUUGCAAUCAGACCUGCCCGUGGGUGAUCUGUCGGGGCUCGUUCCCGGCAACCUUCACCCAUGAUCAGGCCAGCAUCGGUUUGGGCGGUGAGAUAAAAGCCCCUGGAAUGUAGCUUCUCUCGGGGAGUCUUAUAGCCUGAGGUGUCAUGUUGCCAGCCUGGACCGAGGACCGCGCUUCGGCUAGGAUGCUGGCGUAAUGAUUCUAAGCGACCCGUCUUGAAACACGGACCAAGGAGUCUAACAUCUAUGCGAGUGUUUGGGUGUUAAACCCGGGCGCGGAAUGAAAGUGAACGGAGGUGGGAGCCCGUCAAACGGCGCACCAUCGACCGAUCCAGAUGUUUUCGGAUGGAUUUGAGUACGAGCAUAGCUGUUGGGACCCGAAAGAUGGUGAACUUUGCUUGUAUAGGGUGAAGCCAGAGGAAACUCUGGUGGAGGCUCGCAGCGGUUCUGACGUGCAAAUCGAUCGUCGAAUAUGAGCAAAGGUCAGUUGGAAAGGACCUACGUUUAGGGGCUACGCUAACUAAAUUUUUAACAGGGGCGAAAGACCAAUCGAACUAUCUAGUAGCUGGUUCCUGUCGAAGUUUCCCUCAGGAUAGCAGUAACGUUUUCAGUUUUAUGAGGUAAAGCGAAUGAUUAGAGGCCUUGGGGUUGAAACAACCUUAACCUAUUCUCAAACUUUAAAUAUGUAAGAAGUCCUUGUUACUUAGUUGAACGUGGACAUUUGAAUGCACCGUUACUAGUGGGCCAUUUUUGGUAAGCAGAACUGGCGAUGCGGGAUGAACCGAACGCGAGGUUAAGGUGCCGGAAUGCACGCUCAUCAGACACCACAAAAAGUGUCAAUUCAUCCAGACAGCCGGACGGUGGCCAUGGAAGUCGGAACCCGCUAAGGAGUGUGUAACAACUCACCGGCCGAAUGAAUUGGCCUUGAAAAUGGAUGGCGCUCAAGCGUGCUACCCAUACCUCG